GGUAAUACAAAUAUAAUAAAUGUAAAUUACUCGUUUCUUAGUAAGGUCAAAUCGUAAACCUACCUCCAUUGUUCCAUCAAAUUACAAGUGGAGUAGCUUAAAUUAUUGAGUUUUGUCUACAACACUUCUUCUAGAACUUUUGGCCCACAACCAUGUGAAACUUGGUCCGUACUAUCUUCCAUUAGUCCACUCGUGUCCCAAAAUAUUUGUAUUCAGUUUUGUUUUUGUUUGAGCCUUGGGCCUUUUUCCUGGGUCGGUUCCUUGGGCUUAGACAACUCUCUCUUUUCACAUUUGACAUGCUAUAUAUUUUGAGUAAUGAACCGUUUCAGAAAGAAAACAAACUUGUGUUGAUGAAAUAGAUAGAUCGACAUAAUUGACAGUGACAAGAUCGAUAGGGACGGAUCAAGGGAAAGGUAUAGAACACCCUUGUGUAUAUUUGGUAAUGAGGUAAACAAUCACGGGAUGACCUAGUGGUUGGUAUGAAUUCCUGGCCCGAAUUUUACAUGGCACAUCCUAGGUUCGAUUCAUGGCACUGGUGAAUCACACACUGGUGGCUAAAGGGAGACUGAAAUACCUGUGUGAGUCUUUCCGGCCCCUAGAAGAGCGGACUAGCAUGGCGAAGCCACCAACUGGUCCCCUUUUAAAAGAAAGAAGGUGAUGAGGUAAUGUAGAUAUUCUCUCUAUGUGUUUGAUAUGUCGUUUAUAUAUUCAAUUAGUUGUUAUGGUUCUUGUUCAUCUACACACCCAUUUCUUGAAACCAAAAAAAGGACUACAAUAUUAGAACUUGUACGAAAUUAGAUGUGUCUUGAUUUGCUUAGCUCAAUUUGAUCAACGUGAAAUGGGUCAAUUUUAUAGAUCAAGGGAAUGGUGGUUGAUAAUCUGGCAAAUAAUAUGAACUUUAAUUUCUAUGGGCAAUGUUGUGUUUGAUGAUAUCUCUAAGGUUAUUUGGAUUCGGGUUGUUUCUUUAUGUUGAUUUUUCCUUUUGUUUAGUUUUUGCUUGGGCCUUAAGCCCACUUCGCUUCAUUUUUUUUCCUCGGUUUGAGAAUUUGGAUUUUUAUUGAAAUUGUGAAACUCAAAAGUUGGGGAUUAUGUACAAUUUUUAUAGGGUCAAAUAUAAUUCAUGUGAAUGUAAAAAAUGUUUCAGAUUGUAGAGGAAUGCUGAAAACACAAAAUGCUUGGUUUUCGAAAAAAAAAAUGUGUUAAAGGAUCGUAGGUACUGAACAAGGAAGAAGAUGAGUAUGAUGGAGAAAUAAAAUUUCUUACUUGAGGACCACCCUGGGACUCUUGUGUUCUUCUUUUCCAUUACUAAUUCAUCAUCCAUUAAACACCUAGGAAAGGAGAAAUCAAAUUCAUCUGCCAAGAGAUAUGCUUAUGUGAUGAACAAUGACAGCAAUAACAGGAUAAAUUAGUAAUUGUAUGUUACAACUGAACAUAAAAAUUAGAUGGAGGGCUAUCAAAAUAACAAUUAGUACUUAGUAAUUGUAUGAUAUUCGAUCAUUACCUAUUUUUAAUUUUGAAAAUUAAGACUUUGUUAAAUCAAAGAAGAAACCGGGAUUAAAUGUUUACUAAUUAUGAAUACAACUCAUCGUUCAGGAUGUAUAUAAUUUUUAACAAGCCCACGGUUUUAAUAGGAUUAGAGAGUUUGAAUUUCUUCUAGUUAAAUUUGCGUUUUGAUUAGGUAUGUGAUUGAACCAAUGAAAUUCUUCCAUUCAAACAUAAUAAAGAGAAGAAGCCAUCGAAGAUGGAUUUUAACUGUGGGAAUAAUUAAUUAAAAAACUUGACGAACAAGUGAGCUUUCUCUAUCACUGACUUUUAUAUUAUAUACAUCACAAACAUGAAUUUUGUCCAUGUGUAUGACCAAAUAAAUGAAGAAAAUAUUGGACAAGUAAAUUAACCAAUCUCUUUCGUGCCUUACAUUCUAGUGCAUCAAGUUUGGAAGCCGCACAUUGAAUUAAUGGAACCAAACAGACAAAAAAAUAUUAUUAUAACUAAUCCAGUAGACUAGUCGCUUAGUAUUAUGGUCUACUGGUAUUUUUCUUCACUUGUAAAUAAGAUGUCUUAAGUUCGAUUAUGUCAAAGACGAAUUUGAACUACUUUAUUGCUAGUUCAUUAUGAGGCUAAGCUCACCCUUCCCCCUUAGUAUAGAUAAUAUCGUUUGUUAAAAAAAAAAAAAAAAAAAAAAAAAAAAAAGUGAUCAAGUAGACUAAUCAGAUCAUCUCCCAGGAAUAGUUUUAGCUACAACUUUUUUGCAGUCGUGGCUCUCUCCAUUGCCAUUCACCUUUGCAAUUCCUAUAGUAUCCAAAAAUGCAUUUCCUUUUUUAGUCUUCUUUUUUGACGCCUACAAUGCUAAUCACCACAUGCCCUUUGAAAAUAAGUCCUUUUCUAAUUACAACUAAGCAAUCAAGAGCAAAUGUUUACAACUUUACAUGCAUGCAUCUAGUCAAAAAAAGUAGAAGAACCAAUGAGACACGAUUACAUCCCACACAUAAUUUGCAUCACACUUUUAGGCAUGAAGAGCAACAAAAGGGGCAACACCUCUUAAAGGCCGUUUGAUAACACGCAUCUCGUUUUCAAUUUUAUUUUUUUCAAUUGUGUUCCCUUCCAACAAAUUAAAAAAUACGAUCCAAUCUAUUACAAGCAUGAGCAGGCACGUACAUAAAAGAAUAUGACCGCAUCUGUUUGCCUUCCAACGCUUCUUCCUUUUUUUUUUCCGUUGCCUAAUCCUAGAUGGAAUGUAACGAUGUAGGAAUUCAUAUGUUAACAUAAUACCUAUUUAGAUAUACUCGAAUGACCACUUCUCAUUAUUAACCCUAUUCUGGUCUAAUUCGGUAUGGAAUGAACGUAUAAUCAUGAAACUGACUUGAUCAUCAUGUUAUGGAUUAUGAAUUCAUAACCCUGAUCCAGUCCCAUUUUGGACGUACCAACAAACCUAUUAAUUCUUGUACAAGCUAAUUUUAAAGUCUAGCCAUGAAAUGACAUUACCUAACAGAGCAAUCAAUAUUCUAAAAAUAAACAAACACAAGAUAAGAGUGCUGAUAAACCCACCCCAUUAUCUUAUUUCUUCACCCACAUUUUAAUGAAAAUAUUAGAGACAUGUUUAUCCUUCUAGAAAAAGACUUUUAAACCUUACCCAUUUUCUCUCCCUCACCGUCUCUCUCUCUCUUCAUCUCCAGUUUUCUCUUUCAUUUCAUCUCUCUCCUCGACUUCAACCGCCACGACUGAAGAGGUUGUUGGUCUAGUACUUUCAUUGUAGCUUCAUUGUAGGCUUCCUUUACCCUUGUGUCAUUUUUUCCCUAAAAUUCAUUUCACGUCCUAAUACUUAGAUACAAUUAAAUCUCGAACAUGGGGUGGGUCUGGGAUUUUGCCCUUGUAUCAUUUCAAUAGGGAUUUUGGGUUGGCGAGGUUGAAAAUAGAGGCAGAAGGGGAAGAGGGAUGGGAUGAUAAGGGGGAAGAGGGUUAGUUGUCCUUCACGGGCUACUCUUUCUUCCCUACUUUGUCCCUUGACUCGCAACCAUGGCUACCAAUUAACGAAUUUUGCUGCCAAAAGAAGUUGAGGGAAGGAUUGGGGUGCAAAGAGUACAAUGAAGAGGUGGUGAUGUGAUAUAAGGUUAUUUUAGGAAUAAUAGUGGGUGGAGAAAUGGGAUUUUAGUUUUUAAUUUUUUUAUAAUAUGUGAAAUUAUACUGUGGAUGGAAAAAUAGGACAAUAAGAUGGGUCUAUCAUCAUUAGCUUGGACAUGGU
Molecule: long non-coding RNA, 3739 nt
Filed under: Malus domestica (apple)
Lineage: Eukaryota; Viridiplantae; Streptophyta; Magnoliopsida; Rosales; Rosaceae
Description: long non-coding RNA (MDOM_LNC007692)
Source: RNAcentral